AUGGCUUUGCCACAAAUACGAUGUCAACUACAUGAUCAUGCAAGGCAAUAUGACAAUGAUGAUGCGUGUCAUAAUAAACGGAACGGUGGAAAGUUGCAUGGCAAUAUAUCUCGGAAUGGCUAUGGAAAUGCCAUAAUAGGUAGGUAUGGUGGCUGUUUUGAGGAAUAUAUAAGGAGGUUUAUGUGUGAUAGAGCGUAUUGUAUCACGUGGUUUGGAUGCACCGGCGAAGUUUGCACCAACUCUCAAGGUGAGAAAGGGCAAUGCAUGGUACCGAAGAGGCUAGCAAUGAUGGAAGGGUGA
Molecule: ribosomal RNA, 300 nt
Filed under: Triticum aestivum (bread wheat)
Lineage: Eukaryota; Viridiplantae; Streptophyta; Magnoliopsida; Poales; Poaceae
Description: partial small subunit ribosomal RNA
Source: RNAcentral